RNAcentral lists this ribosomal RNA (1492 nucleotides) under uncultured rumen bacterium. Its description in RNAcentral is "bacterial SSU rRNA". It matches the Rfam family "Bacterial small subunit ribosomal RNA". The record is from RNAcentral.
AGAGUUUGAUCAUGGCUCAGGAUGAACGCUAGCUACAGGCUUAACACAUGCAAGUCGAGGGGCAGCAUGGGAUUAGCUUGCUAAUCCUGAUGGCGACCGGCGCACGGGUGAGUAACGCGUAUCCAACCUUCCCCCUGCUCAGGGAUAGCCCGGUGAAAACCGGAUUAAUACCUGAUGGUUUCAUUUGACGGCAUCAGAUGAUGAAUAAAGAAAUUCGGCAAGGGAUGGGGAUGCGUCUGAUUAGCUUGUUGGCGGGGUAACGGCCCACCAAGGCGACGAUCAGUAGGGGUUCUGAGAGGAAGGUCCCCCACAUUGGAACUGAGACACGGUCCAAACUCCUACGGGAGGCAGCAGUGAGGAAUAUUGGUCAAUGGGCGAGAGCCUGAACCAGCCAAGUAGCGUGCAGGAAGACGGCCCUAUGGGUUGUAAACUGCCUUUGUGCGGGAAUAAAGUCAGGGACGUGUCCCUGUUUGUAUGUACCGCAAGAAUAAGGACCGGCUAAUUCCGUGCCAGCAGCCGCGGUAAUACGGAAGGUCCGGGCGUUAUCCGGGUUUAUUGGGUUUAAAGGGAGCGUAGGCCGUCGUUUAAGCGUGUUGUGAAAUGUAGGCGCCCAACGUCUGCACUGCAGCGCGAACUGGAUGACUUGAGUACGCGGGAAGCAGGCGGAAUUCGUCGUGUAGCGGUGAAAUGCUUAGAUAUGACGAAGAACUCCGAUUGCGAAGGCAGCCUGCUGUAGCGCCACUGACGCUGAUGCUCGAAAGCGUGGGUAUCGAACAGGAUUAGAUACCCUGGUAGUCCACGCGGUAAACGAUGGAUGCUCGCUGUAUGCAUAUGAUGUAUGCGGCCAAGGGAAACCAUUAAGCAUCCCACCUGGGGAGUACGCCGGCAACGGUGAAACUCAAAGGAAUUGACGGGGGCCCGCACAAGCGGAGGAACAUGUGGUUUAAUUCGAUGAUACGCGAGGAACCUUACCCGGGCUCAAACGCAGCGCGACAGACCCUGAAAGGGGUUUUUCUUCGGACGCGCUGCGAGGUGCUGCAUGGUUGUCGUCAGCUCGUGCCGUGAGGUGUCGGCUUAAGUGCCAUAACGAGCGCAACCCCCAUCUUCAGUUGCCCCCGGGUAAAGCCGGGCACUCUGGAGAGACUGCCGGCGCAAGCUGUGAGGAAGGCGGGGAUGACGUCAAAUCAGCACGGCCCUUACGUCCGGGGCGACACACGUGUUACAAUGGCGGGGCAACAGAGGGAAGCCAGGCGGCGACGCCGAGCGGAUCCCGAAAACCCGUCUCAGUUCGGAUCGGAGUCUGCAACCCGACUCCGCGAAGCUGGAUUCGCUAGUAAUCGCGCAUCAGCCAUGGCGCGGUGAAUACGUUCCCGGGCCUUGUACACACCGCCCGUCAAGCCAUGGAAGCUUGGAGUGCCUGAAGUCCGUGACCGCAAGGAGCGGCCAAGGGUAAGACAAGUGACUGGGGCUAAGUCGUAACAAGGUAGCCGUA